ACCUGGCUGGUUCAGUCAGUAGAGUGUGGGACUCUUGAUCUCAGGAUUGUGGGUUCAAGCCCCACGUUGGGUA
This 73-nucleotide transfer RNA is filed under the name Canis lupus dingo (dingo). It matches the Rfam family "tRNA". From Rfam's summary of the family: Transfer RNA (tRNA) molecules are approximately 80 nucleotides in length. Their secondary structure includes four short double-helical elements and three loops (D, anti-codon, and T loops). The record is from Rfam by way of RNAcentral. Lineage: Eukaryota; Metazoa; Chordata; Mammalia; Carnivora; Canidae.